ACACAUAAGAGGUCCAGCCUGCCAGUGACUCUGUUCAACGGCCGCGGUAUCCUAACCGUGCGAAGGUAGCGUAAUCACUUGUUCUUUAAAUGAGGACUAGUAUGAAUGGCAUCACGAAGGUUAUGCUGUCUCCUUUUUCUAAUCAGUGAAACUAAUCUUCCCGUGAAGAAGCGGGAAUAAUAAUAUAAGACGAGAAGACCCUAUGGAGCUUUAAACAGAUAUACAAUUGCCUCCAAUACAAAAAAUUUCAGAAAAUAAAUAUCCACCCAGGCAUUUUGAUAUAAAGUUUUCGGUUGGGGUGACCACGGAGCAAAAAAUAACCUCCGCAAUGAAAGGGAAUUUUACCCUAAACCCAGGGCUACAACCCUAAGUAUCAAUAAUUUGACACUAAUUGACCCAAUACACUUGAUCAAUGAACCAAGUUACCCUAGGGAUAACAGCGCAAUCCAUUUCAAGAGCUCCUAUCGACAAAUGGGUUUACGACCUCGAUGUUGGAUCAGGGUAUCCCAGUGGUGCAGCCGCUACUAACGGUUCGUUUGUUCAACGAUUAA
Molecule: ribosomal RNA, 551 nt
Filed under: Leptodactylus elenae A
Lineage: Eukaryota; Metazoa; Chordata; Amphibia; Anura; Leptodactylidae
Description: partial 16S ribosomal RNA
Rfam family: Bacterial large subunit ribosomal RNA
Source: RNAcentral